UACGGGGGGGGCAAGCGUUGUUCGGAAUCACUGGGCGUAAAGCGCACGUAGGCGGAUUGUUAAGUCAGGGGUGAAAUCCUGGAGCUCAACUCCAGAACUGCCUUUGAUACUGGCGAUCUUGAGUUCGGGAGAGGUGAGUGGAACUGCGAGUGUAGAGGUGAAAUUCGUAGAUAUUCGCAAGAACACCAGUGGCGAAGGCGGCUCACUGGCCCGAUACUGACGCUGAGGUGCGAAAGCGUGGGGAGCAAACAGG
Molecule: ribosomal RNA, 253 nt
Filed under: uncultured bacterium
Lineage: Bacteria
Description: partial 16S ribosomal RNA
Rfam family: Bacterial small subunit ribosomal RNA
Source: RNAcentral